This 253-nucleotide ribosomal RNA is filed under the name uncultured bacterium. RNAcentral's name for it is "partial 16S ribosomal RNA". It matches the Rfam family "Bacterial small subunit ribosomal RNA", at positions 524 to 776 of the family's 1533-position model. The record is from RNAcentral.
UACGUAGGGCGCGAGCGUUGUCCGGAAUUAUUGGGCGUAAAGAGCUCGUAGGCGGUCUGUCGCGUCGGCUGUGAAAACCUGGGGCUCAACUCCGGGCCUGCAGCCGAUACGGGCAGACUAGAAUUCGGUAGGGGAGACUGGAAUUCCUGGUGUAGCGGUGAAAUGCGCAGAUAUCAGGAGGAACACCGGUGGCGAAGGCGGGUCUCUGGGCCGAUAUUGACGCUGAGGAGCGAAAGCGUGGGGAGCGAACAGG